This 253-nucleotide ribosomal RNA is filed under the name uncultured bacterium. RNAcentral describes it as "partial 16S ribosomal RNA". It matches the Rfam family "Bacterial small subunit ribosomal RNA", at positions 524 to 776 of the family's 1533-position model. The record is from RNAcentral.
GACGAACCGUCCAAACGUUAUUCGGAAUCACCGGGCUUAAAGGGAGCGUAGGCGGAGAGGCAAGUCAGAGGUGAAAGCCCACGGCUCAACCGUGGACGUGCCCCUGAAACGGCCUCUCUCGAGGGAGAUAGGGGCGUGCGGAACUCAGAGUGGAGCGGUGAAAUGCGUAGAUAUUCUGAGGAACACCGGUGGCGAAAGCGGCACGCUGGGUCUUUUCUGACGCUGAGGCACGAAAGCUAGGGGAGCAAACGGG